UUUCGCAAUGCCCGAAAGGGUGACAAUGCGACGCCGCGUGAGCGAAGAAGGCCCUAGGGUUGUAAAGCUCUGUCGGGGGUUAUGAAAUGUAGAUCGGUUAAUACCCGGUUUAUUUGACAAAGGCCCCAAAGGAAGCCACGGCUAACUCUGUGCCAGCAGCCGCGGUAAUACAGAGGUGGCAAGCGUUGUUCGGUAUUAUUGGGCGUAAAGAGCACGUAGGUGGUUUUGUAAGUCAGAUGUGAAAGCCUUCUGUUCAAAGGAAGAACGGCAUCUGAAACUGCGGAUCUUGAGUGUAGGAGGGGAGAGUGGAACUUCUGGUGGAGCGGUGAAAUACGUAGAUAUCAGAAGGAACGUCGGCGGCGAAAGCGACUCUCUGGCCUAUUACUGACACUGAGUGUGCGAAAGUUAGGGGAGCAAACGGGAUUAGAUACCCCGGUAGUCCUAACUGUAAACGAUGGGCACUAAGUAGAGGGGUUUUA
Molecule: ribosomal RNA, 479 nt
Filed under: uncultured bacterium
Lineage: Bacteria
Description: bacterial SSU rRNA
Rfam family: Bacterial small subunit ribosomal RNA
Source: RNAcentral